UACAGAGGGUGCAAGCGUUGUUCGGAAUUACUGGGCGUAAAGCGCGUGUAGGCGGCUUUUUAAGUCGGACGUGAAAUCCCUGGGCUUAACCCAGGAACUGCGUCCGAUACUAUCAGGCUAGAGUGUCGGAGGGGGUGGCGGAAUUCCCGGUGUAGAGGUGAAAUUCGUAGAUAUCGGGAGGAACACCUGUGGCGAAGGCGGCCACCUGGAAGACAACUGACGCUGAGACGCGAAAGCGUGGGGAGCAAACAGG
Molecule: ribosomal RNA, 253 nt
Filed under: uncultured bacterium
Lineage: Bacteria
Description: partial 16S ribosomal RNA
Rfam family: Bacterial small subunit ribosomal RNA
Source: RNAcentral